This is a long non-coding RNA of Eptesicus fuscus (big brown bat), 418 nucleotides long. RefSeq lists it as uncharacterized. The record is from RefSeq and is a predicted model, not a curated record. The transcript is spliced from 4 exons. Lineage: Eukaryota; Metazoa; Chordata; Mammalia; Chiroptera; Vespertilionidae.
CUGCCUUUACUGCUGCUGCGACUGUGGGUCAGGUGUCCUGAGGGACUGCUGUGUCUGCUGUGUGAGGACAAAACCCCUGGAGCAAAGAACUUGCCCUCCUGGAUAUAUUUUUAUUGGGCUUUGAAAGUCUUAAGGUCCCACCCUCAAGUCGAACAAAGACUGAAUGUGUCAAAGUCGCAUGUCUAACAGGGAAGGUGCAAAUCCUAAAUAGAAGAAUAGAGCCACGACCUGAGGCCCCUGCUGCUGAAAAUUAUCUCUAAAGCAGACAAAAAGAUUCGCCCAGGCCGUGGUAUCUUGUGGAAGAGCCACACUCAAGGGACCAAAGAGCCGGAUGUGGCUCGUGAGCUGCAGUUUGCCAACCACGGCACUGGGGAACUCAAGGAGACAACAGAUGGACAUCGUUAUAAUGCCAUCUAUA